UGCGGGGCGCACAACUUCGCCAGCCGCUCCAGCUGCUUCAAGUGUGCUGCCUUCAAGGAGGAAGCUGCCGUCAAUGGUGGCGCUGGUGGCUUUGAUGGUGACAUGUCACGCUCAAGGGGCUUCGGCUUCGGCGCUGUCGGUGGCAUGGGUGGCGGCAUGGGAGCCGGCGCGGCCGGUGGUCGUGCCAGCCGCCCUGGCUGGAAGUCUGGCGACUGGAUUUGCACCAGGUGCGUGUUGCUUAAACACUGUCCUGUCCUGUCCUUUAUUUGGGUAGCUUCAUGUAGUUAAGACUUAACGUUAAACUAUGCGUAGACAAGUAGAAAAUCAUUUUUACUACUCCUUGUGUCUGGAUAUGCUGCACAUAGUACGGACACCGUACAAUACUUUGUUUGUAGUUUGGCCUAUCCUAUCGUUGCUUUGCUUCUAGUAGUAUUAUAUCUUCUGUCCCUGCCACUUCCCCCUGUUUCCGGGUCCCUUUUUUCCUGAUAAAAAGAAGAUAUCAAUGCACGAGAAAACAAGUAGCAAUAGACAGAAGAAAAAAACUGAUCAUGCUUGUAAUGCAAACAAGUAGGUACUCCCUUUGAUUCAAAUUAAUUGAUGCAUGCUUAGUACAACUUUGACUGUUCCAGUAGGUGCCACUCACCGACAUGACUGUCGUUUAAUUAGUAGAUAUAAGCAAGUAGAUGUAGGUCGUCUUUAUGUACAAGACCGUAGCUGGCUGUUCCAUGCAUGUUCUUAUAUUACAUAAGUAUUUUGCUUUGUGCUAAAGGUGUUGUAUUUCUGCUGGCUCUGUGUAGGUCUGGAUGCAACGAGCACAACUUCGCCAGCAGGCAGGAGUGCUUCAGGUGCAACGCACCGAGGGACUCCGGUAGCGCCACGCCAUACGAAAAUUUCUUGUAAACUAUCAGAUCCAUUCAUCCCCCCUUGACUCGGCGUUAGAUGCCCCGGUCUCUAACCAUGUAUCGUGUGCAUCGAUCUGCAGGCACUGAGGUGUAGGAAGGCCGCGGCGAUGAGCAGAAGCAGCAAAGGGUGUCCGUGUCCCGCAGUCGACAUCAUCAUCAUAAGAAGAAGAAGAAGAAAGUAGAAUGCAAAGAAAUCCUCCUCGAGUGCAUGCUUACUAGUUUUGUCUCUUCCCGUUUUAGAUUUGGUUGUCAUUUCCCAUUUGGGACCGUCCGUCUGUCCGUCUGAUCGAUGAUGACUAGCUAUGUUUACCGUUUUAUUAUUUCCGUUCCUUUCAUCAAGUUUGCAGUUCGAGUUAUGUAACCCAAAGACGUAUGCUUUGCUUCAGAAGUAUUAUUGACUAGUAGUACUAUUGCGUCUUAAAUUCCUGUUAAGCUGAGAUUUGAUUAUGUGUGCAUGUGCAUUGCAACCCGUCUCGCAUGUUAUCUUUUCCUCUGGAGAGACAAAAUUUUUUAACCUCAACUGGUCAUAAAGAAAAUGUAACAAAACGGAACGGAACGCAUCACGUGUAUGCAAGUGUCAGCGCCGCGCUAACGUAAUUUGUGCAUGCACUACCAUAACAAAAACCGCGCUUCAGCACGUGCAGAACACAUUCCUCGCGGCGACUCGAAAACCUGCACGCGGCCCAACGGCAAGCUAAAGACAUGCCCCGUCGUUCUCAAAAAAAAAAGACAUGCCCCGUCGUUCUCAAAAAAAAAAAAAGACAUGCCCCGUCUCGCACUGUCACAGUAGUGCAUCGGAUGCCCUUGUCGUCUUUUACCAUGGCCAAUGCCAUAUCCAUAUGCACCUGCAUGCAUGUGCCGGCCGGCCAGGUGCGAGAGAUGCGGUCAAAAGCAUCGCUCGUCCAGGCAAGUUUCCGGCCCUCGCGGCGGGCGGCGUCGGCACCAGGUCCAGCGGAUUGGCUACGGCAGCUCCCGGCGAGAUUCCCUCCCUCCCUCUCUUCUUCGGUUAUCUCGCCUCGCUUUAUACAUGGCCUCAGCUUUGGCUCGCCGCUUUCCUUCUUUCUUUAGGCCUCUCCUUUGGUUUCCUUGUCUCUUUGUAGUAUGCGUGUCUUUUAUCGUGGGGAGGAGGAACCAAAGGCGGCCGCCCGGCCCGGGGGUAGCUAAAGCCUUGCUGCUGCUGGUGCAGACGCUGCCUUUGGAGGCACCGUGUUCCGUUGCUUGACCUCCUUUGCAGUUGCGCGCGACGGCGAGUGACCACCACAUUGCACGGAUUUUCAAGAUGAUGGCCACACCAAAGUACGUACUAGUAGUAGUGGCUUUUGGAGGAGCGGGGUGGCAUCGUGGAGUUCACCUGAAUCCCUAACUAAACUCGAACCUACUACUGACGAUGUGUUUCCCCCCUUUCGGAUGGUUUUACUGCAUACUUGCGAGCAUUCCUGAACUUAUAGGAUUCUAAAAAGGGGAUACCGUUUCGAAAUAAGUGGCUCUCCCUCCGUCUCAAAAUAAAUGUCUCGACUUCGUACUAACUUUAGUACAAAGUUGUACUAAGGCUGAGACAUUUAUUUUGGAAUGGAGAGAGUACUACUUAUAACAAACAGUUUGGAAAACUUGCACGGAAUUAUGUUCGAAUUUGAAGAGAGAAAAAACAAUUCUGCCUCCUAUCUAUUUUUUGAAUGUUGGUAGGAGUUCUACCAAAUUCAUUGAUCAGUAAGGAGUAAAAACAGUACAGAAGGGUGCCCAAUAAAAAAUGAACAAAGCACCUAAGAAAGGGUGCUAAAAGAGGAAAAAACAAGCCAACAAAUCAGCCUGGGUCGAAGGGGAUCCUUGCUCCUGCCAUGUUCCAGAUUCUAAUUUCCUCCUUAAUUCUCCUCAACAGCGUGCUAGUAUCCAUCCGCUUGUUGUCGAACAGCCGUCUGUUUCGUUCGCACCAUAUUUCCCAAGAGAUUAGGUGCAGAAGAGACAAGGUCCCUUUCUUUUUUGCGAUCGGUGCUUUUUGCCAGCAGCUUUGCAUCCAUCCUCCAACGCUGUGCAGCUCCAUCCAGGAGAUUGGCCGCAAUGAUGGCAAGGCAGCCACAGCCGCGAUCAAGUCCCAGGCCUUCCUUGCCCACGGGCAUUCCACAAGAAGAUGGAAGGCAGUUUCCAGAUUUCUCUGACACAAAGGACAGAAAUAGUUGUUCUCCCAUCCGCGCCGCAGCAACACAUCGGCCGUCCCGUCAAAUUCUGCCUCCUAUCUAUGAUACAAAGGUAUGCCCCUGUUUGUUCUGCCUCAUAUCUAUGAUACAAAGGUAUGCCCCCGUACGUUCAAAGCAUAUUGUUAUACUCCCUUAUUUCAUAAUGUUUAAGUAUUUUUGAAAAAUCAACCCUGACAAACUUUGACCAAAUUUAUGGAGAAAAAAUAUUUACAUCUAGAAUGUCAAACAUGUAUCGUUAGAUUCAUCGUAAGAUGUAGUUUCAUAUUUUUAUAUAUUUGGUAAUGUAGAUAUAAAUAGUUUUCUUUAUAAACUUACUCAAAGUUUGGCUUUUAAAACAAAUGCAUUAUGUUAUGGAACGGAGGGAGUACUUUUUACAUAAAUCAUUCAAUACAAAUGUCUCAUAUUCCUAAAUAGCGUUGAACCUAGUAUAAAUUUUUAGCCAUGCUCUUUGGGCAUUGAAAGAUUUUCAAGUGAAACUUGCAAGGUUUUAGUUCUCUCUUCGUGUGAAAACUCAUGACCUAGCCUAUGGCUAGAUCAGGCAAUGUUGACAUACACAUGUUGUUACCUUGUUCAAGAUGUUGGUUCAAAGCCUUCUUCGAGGGUGACAGCUCUUAACAUCUGGUUGGACCAACCAAUAUCAGCAUGUGAGCGACGAUUCCUUCUUGAAGGCGUUGUCUUGGAUUGAUGUGUACUUUUGUGACGCCCUCAAUUUAAUCGUACACUAAUCAUACACGCAAAUGUGCACGAUCAAGAUCAAGGACUCACGGGAAGAUAUGACAACACAACUUUAGACACAAAUAAAAUAAUACAAGAUUUAUAUACAAGCCAGGGGCCUCGAGGGCUCGAAUACAUAAGCUCGAUCUUAAACGAGUCAGCGGAAACAACAAUAUCUGCGGAUAGACAUAAGUUAAACAAGGUGCCAUAAGAUGGCUAACACAAACAGGCAUACAGAUCGAAGCGGUGCAUGCCUCCUGCCUGGGAUCCUCCUAAACUACUCUUGGUCGUCGGCGGCCUGCACGUAGUAGUAGGCACCCUCGGUGUAGUAGGGGUCAUCGUCGGUGGCGUCUGGCUCCGGGGCUCCAGCAUCUGGUUGCGACAUCCGAGAAGAAUGGAAAAAGGGGGGAAAGAGGGAGCAAAGCAACCGUGAGUACUCAUCCAAAGUACUCGUAAGCAAGGAUCUACACUACAUAUGCAUCGGUAUCAAUGAAAUGGGUAGUAUCUAUGGAGUGAACUGCAGAAUGCCAGAAUAAGAGGGGGAUAGCUAGUCUAUCGAAGACUACGCUUCUGGCGGCCUCCAUCUUGAAGCAUAUAGAAGAGAGUAGCAAGUAUAGCCUCAACUAACAUCAUAUAGCAUAAUCCUACCCGACGAUCCUCUCCUCGUCACCUUGUGAGAGAGCGAUCACCGGGUUGUCUCUGGAACUUACCUGGGCGUGAUUGAUUAAGUAUCUGGUUCUAGUUGUCAUGAGGUCGGAAUACAACUCCAAGUCUCCUGUUACCGUGGACACGGCUCGUAUUCGUCUUCUAGGAUUCCAUAUUUAGAUUCUUCUAGGGUUGAAUUGUAUUUUUAUUGAUCAAUUAGAAUUGACUUCUAGAACGUAUAAUUGUCUAAAAAGGCAUUUCUUCGAUUUGUUCUCCUCUUCUAAGGUUAUAGCUUUCGUGCUAGCUUCAUCGAUGUUACCCACCAAAUAAAGAGCUUGUUCAGGUAGGCCGUCUAAUUCUCCGGAAAAAUCUCGUGCUGAAGAGCGUGGAGGUUCGUUUCGGUAUAUUGAAAUAUAAACAUAAAAAAGAAGAUAGAGGAUAGGCUCAUUACUUAAAAAAAA
This 4914-nucleotide long non-coding RNA is filed under the name Triticum aestivum (bread wheat). Its description in RNAcentral is "long non-coding RNA (TAES_LNC013221)". Lineage: Eukaryota; Viridiplantae; Streptophyta; Magnoliopsida; Poales; Poaceae. The record is from RNAcentral.